Molecule: ribosomal RNA, 253 nt
Filed under: uncultured bacterium
Lineage: Bacteria
Description: partial 16S ribosomal RNA
Rfam family: Bacterial small subunit ribosomal RNA
Source: RNAcentral
UACGUAGGGUGCAAGCGUUGUCCGGAAUUAUUGGGCGUAAAGAGCUCGUAGGCGGUCUGUCGCGUCGGAUGUGAAAACCCGGGGCUUAACCCCGGGCCUGCAUUCGAUACGGGCAGGCUCGAGUGUGGUAGGGGAGACUGGAACUCCUGGUGUAGCGGUGAAAUGCGCAGAUAUCAGGAAGAACACCGGUGGCGAAGGCGGGUCUCUGGGCCACUACUGACGCUGAGGAGCGAAAGCGUGGGGAGCGAACAGG